This 208-nucleotide long non-coding RNA is filed under the name Capsella rubella. RNAcentral's name for it is "long non-coding RNA (CRUB_LNC002335)". The record is from RNAcentral. Lineage: Eukaryota; Viridiplantae; Streptophyta; Magnoliopsida; Brassicales; Brassicaceae.
UUUGUGAUAGAGUUAUGGUGUUGAUUUAAGGUCAAGUAACUACACAACCUAGCAUAAAUAUGUAUUAAGUAAAAAAAAAUAAAAAAAAUAAUGACAGUUACGUCAUUAAAAAGAAAACUAUAUGGGCAUUUUCAUUUCCAUAAGUUUUUGAGCUAGUUUAUCUCUAGCAAAUUUGGAUGGACUAGUAUGGUUAUUAACAGACAUUUAC